UACGGGGGGAGCAAGCGUUGUUCGGAUUUACUGGGCGUAAAGGGCGCGUAGGCGGCGUGACAAGUCACUUGUGAAAUCUCCGGGCUUAACCCGGAACGGUCAAGUGAUACUGUCGUGCUAGAGUACAGAAGGGGCAACUGGAAUUCUCGGUGUAGCGGUGAAAUGCGUAGAUAUCGAGAGGAACACCUGCGGCGAAGGCGGGUUGCUGGGCUGAUACUGACGCUGAGGCGCGAAAGCCAGGGGAGCGAACGGG
RNAcentral lists this ribosomal RNA (253 nucleotides) under uncultured bacterium. RNAcentral describes it as "partial 16S ribosomal RNA". It matches the Rfam family "Bacterial small subunit ribosomal RNA", at positions 524 to 776 of the family's 1533-position model. The record is from RNAcentral.